RNAcentral lists this ribosomal RNA (645 nucleotides) under uncultured Escherichia sp. RNAcentral's name for it is "partial 16S ribosomal RNA". Lineage: Bacteria; Pseudomonadati; Pseudomonadota; Gammaproteobacteria; Enterobacterales; Enterobacteriaceae. The record is from RNAcentral.
AGGGCACGACGUGCACACAUGCAGUGAACGGUAACAGGAAGCAGCUUGCUGUUCGCCUUACGAGUGGCGGAGGCGAUAAGUCUGGGAACUGCCUGAUGGAGGGGUACUACUGGAACGGAGCAAACCCAUAACGUCGCAGACCAAGAGGGGGACUUAGGCCUCUUGCAUCGGAUGUCCCCGAUGGAUUAGCUAGAGGGGGACGCUCACUAGCGACGUCCCAGCUGGCUAGAGGUGCCACCCCUGGACUAGAACGGCCAACUCACGGAGCACAUGGAUUGCCAUGGCCCGGAUGACAUCCCGGAUAGAGCUCGUUGAAGAUUCGGGAGAAGAUAAGUAACUUGUAUGCGUACGAGAGACCGCAAUCUCACGCGGUAUCGAGUCACUAUCGAUAUGGGAAGCCCGCGUUGUAGCGUUAACCGGUACUGGAUCUUAAUGCAGUGGUCGAGGGGAGAUCGGGAGGUGAUCGAGGUUGGGAACGGGGAGGCCCUGCAAAUAGUAGCAAGGGGGACGGUAGACUGAGCCCGAACAGCGUGAGUGCCUGGGGUCGGCACCUAGGCCUGGGCGCGAGAAUAUAUGGGCCAAGGGGUUGUUCUCCGAACAUGUGACCAUUCGAGAGCUCGCGAAGCUGUGCCUGAUGACCAAAAA